CCUUAGAGUUUGAUCCUGGCUCAGGAUGAACUCUGGCGGCACGCCUAACACAUGCAAGUCGAACGGAGUUUAGAGGAGCUUGCUUUUCUAAACUUAGUGGCGGACGGGUGAGUAACACGUGAGCAACCUGCCUUUCAGAGAGGGAUAGCUUCUGGAAACGGAUGGUAAUACCUCAUAACAUAUCGUGAUGGCAUCAUCGUGAUAUCAAAGAUUUAUCGCUGAGAGAUGGGCUCGCGUCUGAUUAGCUAGUUGGUGAGGUAACGGCCCACCAAGGCAACGAUCAGUAGCCGGACUGAGAGGUUGAACGGCCACAUUGGGACUGAGACACGGCCCAGACUCCUACGGGAGGCAGCAGUGGGGAAUAUUGCACAAUGGGCGCAAGCCUGAUGCAGCGAUGCCGCGUGAGGGAAGAAGGUUUUCGGAUUGUAAACCUCUGUCAACAGGGACGAAAAUGACGGUACCUGUGAAGGAAGCUCCGGCUAACUACGUGCCAGCAGCCGCGGUAAUACGUAGGGAGCAAGCGUUAUCCGGAAUUACUGGGCGUAAAGGGCGCGUAGGCGGAAAGGCGUGUCGGAUGUGAAAUCUCCGGGCUCCACCCGGAAAGUGCGUCCGAAACUACCUUUCUCGAGUUCGGAAUGGGGAAUCGGAAUACCAGGGUGUAGCGGUGAAAUGCGUUGAUAUCCUGUAGAACACCGGAGGCGAAGGCGGAUUCCUGGUACGAUACUGACGCUGAGGCGCGAAAGUCGGGGGAGCAAACAGGAUUAGAUACCCUGGUAGUCCCGACCUUAAACGGUGUACACUCGGGGUAGGCGGAUUUCAACCCGCCUGUCCCUUAGCUAACGCGUUAAGUGUACCGCCUGGGGAGUACGGCCGCAAGGCUAAAACUCAAAGAAAUUGACGGGGGCCCGCACAAGCAGAGGAGCAUGUGGCUUAAUUCGAUGCAACGCGAAGAACCUUACCUGGGUUUGACAUACAGCUGCACGGCCUAUGAAAGUAGGCUUCCUUCGAGGGUGCUGUACAGGUGCUGCAUGGCUGUCGUCAGUUCGUGCCGUGAGGUGUUUGGUUAAGUCCACCAACGAACGCAACCCCUUUGACCAGUUGCCAGCGGGUGAUGCCGGGAACUCUGGUCACACUGCUCGUUUACGCGAGAGGAAGGUGGGGAUGACGUCAAGUCAGUAUGGCCCUUACAUCCAGGGCUGCACACGUGCUACAAUGGCGCAUACAGAGCGACGCGAGACCGCAAGGUGGAGCAAACCGCACAGAGUGCGCCUCAGUUCAGAUCGGGGUCUGCAACCCGACCCCGUGAAGUCGGAUUUGCUAGUAACGGCGUAUCAGCUACGACGCCGUGAAUGCGUUCCCGGGCCUUGCACUCACCGCCCGUCA
This 1383-nucleotide ribosomal RNA is filed under the name uncultured bacterium. Its description in RNAcentral is "bacterial SSU rRNA". It matches the Rfam family "Bacterial small subunit ribosomal RNA". The record is from RNAcentral.